UCUCGGCAAAUUAUCCUCAUAAGUUCGACAAGAAGAGGAACCAUGAAUUUUAGUAAUUUAAUAUCUCCUAUUAAAUUUAUUUAUAUGGUGGCACAAAAUCGGAAGCCCCGACUGUUUACUAAAAACACAACUAUCUGCAAUUAUCAAAAAUAAUAGUAUAGGUAGUGAGAUUUGCCCAAUGCCAUCUCAAUAAGUAAUAAUAAUGGGUAACUGUUUCUUUACAAAAAAUUGGUUAAUAGCGGUCUUAACUAUGAGGAUCCUAAGGUAGCAAAAUAAAUUGGCCAUUAAAUGUGGUCCGGUAUCAAUAAUUUAACGAUGGCUUCACUGUCUCUACAACUUGCUCAGUGAAAUUGAAUUACCCGUGCAGAUGCGGUUACCUCAAAGAGGACGGGAAGACCCUAUGCAGCUUCUACUGA
This 416-nucleotide ribosomal RNA is filed under the name Boletus sp. KS2824. Its description in RNAcentral is "LSU rRNA". It matches the Rfam family "Bacterial large subunit ribosomal RNA", at positions 1712 to 2107 of the family's 2925-position model. The record is from RNAcentral. Lineage: Eukaryota; Fungi; Basidiomycota; Agaricomycetes; Boletales; Boletaceae.